CUACAGGUGAUGCUUGGCCUGGGCUAGGGUGUGCAGUCUUAGGUUUCGUGAAACCGCGUUCAGUAAUUGGCGAGGCGUUUCGAGAAGUAGCAGGUGUUCGACUGGGGAAUUACCGGCCGAGGAGGUUUAGGGAGGGGUAGCGUUGUAGUUGUCGUCACCGCACUCUAAGGUGUCUAAGUAAGGUGCGGCAGCAAAGCCACAGCGAAGGAAGGGGCCGGGUCGAGGAGGGAGACAGGGAGGCUCUCCAGUCCUGAGUCGACCUCCUCUUUUCAGGUCGGGUUGAGAUAGCUGUAGAGAGGAAAAUUGCGGUCAGGUCCAGAGCGGCGGUAACGCGGUCCCUGAGAGCCUUGGGGCCACGAACCAGUAGCAGCGUCCAGAACAAGCAGAGGGCCCCGAGGGCAGCUCCAGCUAGGACCAACUCGUAGUAACUAAAUUUCCCUUGUACAAAGCCUUUUUCGUUCGAAGAGUAAAGCUAAGUCUACUACGACUCGUCUCUGUUCGUUUCUAGUUCCUUGAUUCUCGACGAGAACCCAGAAAUAGAUCGGCACCUCUUUUUAUAACGCUACUUCGUACGAACUAUUCUAUAGAGCUGCGGGCGUUGACCUUACAACUGUUCAGAUCUUUUUACGACUUUCUUUCAGAGUUCACCUCCCGUUGAUUCUCUGGACUCCUAUAAGCGACCGGGCUACAAAGGCAACUUCGUCUUUGUCCAUUUUACAUGUCCCGUUGAAAGUGUCUAUCUCUCCCGUCUUGACACCAACAUUACUCUGGGCGUUUCGUCUUAUGUAGCAGAGUGCUUCCCGUCAACGUUAUAGAACAUAUAUGGAACCUCUUACGUCAGGAGUCGGACGGACUUCCAGUACUGUUUUACCACACCGACUAUCUGAAGUGUCCUACCUGUGACCGGGUACGCUGGGGGAAGUUCUGACGGUCUCUGACAUACUUACAGGACGUUUUGGUAAUGGGCCUCUCCGAAAGUUAACGCAAAGACAAGUUAGGCGGGUUUCAUAAACUCCGAAGAAAGUUCCAAGAGUUUCAUGACCAACUGGGCUUUAGUCGGGUCUUCGACUUGAAACACAUGUUCCUCUUGCUUCUCUCGUACUUCUGUUACAUGUUGGUGUAACUAGGUCUUCAGGAAGGACGCCUCAAACCUCCCUUCUUGUUACGGCACAUGUUGGUACUUCUAAUGAGGUUCAACUACUGUUUCCUACUGUAGUUUUGCCGUUCGAAAACCCGUCGUCUACAAUUGGUACAGUAGUUGCACCUGAGCCAAGGACUCCAAUUCGGCGUCGGCAGUGAUUAACAACGAUUUCGCUCAACUCCUCGUAGCCGGUCGGUAGAAUAGACAAUAACGUUUUCAACCAACUCCUCGAAGUCAUUCGGCAACGGUGCCAAGAGCCAUGCCGAGACUUUCUCCUUACAUAUCUAUACAACUCCUACGAACCUAUUUAUUUACAUUGACGUCUUAUAGAGCGAACACUACAAUGUUUUUAUCAAUGAUGAUCAGAUAGGGGUUUAUUCACUAGAGUGUUGUUUUAGUAUAAGGGAACCGGUUCUUAAACUGCGUGACUUCUUAGGUUUCGGGAAACCGCGUACGGUCGCUACGGCCGUACAAUGAGGGGUCUCGCGAAGUGGCAGGUGUUCGACUGUGAGUUGGCGUUGUAGUUGUGGUUAACGCACUAAGGUGUCUAGGUUAGGUUCCGAAGCAAAGCCACAGUCCAGAACGGCCGUAACGCAGCCAUUUAGAGCGUUAGGGUGCAAGAACCAGUAUCAGCGUCCGGACCAGGCAGAGGGACCCCGAGGAGAGGAGAGGGCCAGCUAGGACCAACUCGUAGUAACUCUCAACUUCUUUUGUACAAAACCUCUUUCGUUCGAAGAGUAAAACUAAAUCUACUACGACUCGUCUCUGUUCGUUUCUAGUUCCUUGACUCUCGACGUGAACCCGGAAACAGGCGGACACCUCUUUUUAUAACGUUACUUCGUACGAACCAUUCUAUAGAGCUCCGAGCGUUGACCUUACAACUGUUCAGAUCUUUUUACGAACUUCUUUCAGAGUUCACCUCCCGUCGGUCCUCCGGACUCCUAUAAGUGACCGGCCUGCAAAGCCAUCUUCGUCUUUGCCCAUUUUACAUGUCCCGUGGAAAGUGUCUAUCUCUCCCCUCUUGGCACUAGCAUUACUCUGGACGUUUCGUCUUAUGUAGUAGAGUGCUUCCCGUCAACGUCAUAGAAUGUAUAUGGAACCUCUUACGUCGGGAGUUGGACGGAGUUCCAGUUCUGUUUUACCACACCGACUAUCUGAAGUGUCCUACCUGUGACCGGGUAUCUUCAGGGAAGUUCUGAAGGUCUCUCUCAUAUUCAUGGCACGUUUUGGUAAUGGGCCUCUCUGAGAGUCGACGUAAAUACAAGUUAGGCGGGUUUUAUAAACUCCGAAGAAAAUUCCAAGAGUUUCAGGACUAACUGGGCUUUAGCCGGGUCUUUGAAUUGAAACACAUGUUCCUCUUGCUCCUCUCGUACUUCUGUUACAUGUUGGUGUAACUAGGUCUUCAGGAAGGACAUCUCAAACCUCCCUUCUUGUUACAUCACAUGUUGGUACUUCUAAUGAGGUUCAACUACUGUUUCCUACUGUAGUUUUGCCGUUCGAAAACCCGUCGUCUACAAUUGGUACAGUAGUUGCACCUGAGCCAAGGACUCCAAUUCGGCUUCGGCAGUGAUUAACAACGAUUUCGUUCAACUCUUUGUAACCGGUCGGUAGAGUGUUCCACAACGAUUUCGUUUAACUCUACGUGGUCCGUCGGUAAUACUCGAAUGCUACCGGAAGUCACGUCAAGACUUUCUCCAUAUUUCUUUACGUUGACAUCUUAUAGAACGAUAUGAAAUGGUAGUAGUUUAUUCACUAAAGUAAUGAUAGG
RNAcentral lists this ribosomal RNA (2909 nucleotides) under Triticum aestivum (bread wheat). RNAcentral describes it as "partial small subunit ribosomal RNA". The record is from RNAcentral. Lineage: Eukaryota; Viridiplantae; Streptophyta; Magnoliopsida; Poales; Poaceae.